This 71-nucleotide transfer RNA is filed under the name Marmota monax (woodchuck). RNAcentral's name for it is "tRNA.Ala". It matches the Rfam family "tRNA". From Rfam's summary of the family: Transfer RNA (tRNA) molecules are approximately 80 nucleotides in length. Their secondary structure includes four short double-helical elements and three loops (D, anti-codon, and T loops). Lineage: Eukaryota; Metazoa; Chordata; Mammalia; Rodentia; Sciuridae. The record is from RNAcentral.
GGGGUUGUGGCUCAGCGGUAGAGCACCUGCCUCGCACGCAUGAGACCCUGGGUUCAAUCCUCAGCACCACA